ACGGGGCCCGCACAAGCAGUGGAGUAUGUGGUUUAAUUCGACGCAACGCGAAGAACCUUACCAGGACUUGACAUCCUCUGACGAUCCAGGAGACUGGAUUUCCCUUCGGGGCAGAGAGACAGGUGGUGCAUGGUUGUCGUCAGCUCGUGUCGUGAGAUGUUGGGUUAAGUCCCGCAACGAGCGCAACCCUUAUUGCCAGUUACCAUCAUUAAGUUGGGGACUCUGGCGAGACUGCCGUGGAUAACACGGAGGAAGGUGGGGAUGACGUCAAAUCAUCAUGCCCCUUAUGUCCUGGGCUACACACGUACUACAAUGGCAACAACAAAAAGCAGCAAAACCGCGAGGUCAAGCGAAUCUCCAAAUGUUGUCUCAGUUCGGAUUGCAGGCUGCAACUCGCCUGCAUGAAGUCGGAAUUGCUAGUAAUGGCAGGUCAGCAUACUGCCGUGAAUACGUUCCCGGGCCUU
This 464-nucleotide ribosomal RNA is filed under the name uncultured Fastidiosipila sp. RNAcentral's name for it is "bacterial SSU rRNA". It matches the Rfam family "Bacterial small subunit ribosomal RNA", at positions 916 to 1381 of the family's 1533-position model. The record is from RNAcentral. Lineage: Bacteria; Bacillati; Bacillota; Clostridia; Eubacteriales; Oscillospiraceae.